Molecule: small RNA, 1945 nt
Filed under: Pan troglodytes (chimpanzee)
Lineage: Eukaryota; Metazoa; Chordata; Mammalia; Primates; Hominidae
Description: retained intron
Source: RNAcentral
CCCAACCUCAACUUUCCCACAGGGUUAUAUGGCCACCAUGGCUGCUCAGGGGGUCCCCGAGAGUCUUCGAGGCCGUGACAGGAUUGUGUUUGGGAAUAUCCAGCAAAUCUAUGAGUGGCACCGAGAGUGAGUGGUGGAACUCUGACAGCUAGGUGCUGGGGAGGGGCCCUCAUCUGGUUGUCCUGUAUCCUAACAUCAGCCCAUUGCGACUUAAGGAAUGUUUGGAGAAGUUUUGUAGGGCACACUACCAGGGCAGACAGCUCGAAAUUGCUGGGAGUGGGCGAGGUGGGGGUUGUGAAAUGUAUUUGACCUGCUGCUUCUCUACCAACCCCUCCAGCUAUUUCUUGCAAGAGCUACAACGGUGUCUGAAAGAUCCUGAUUGGCUGGCUCAGCUAUUCAUCAAACACGUGAGGCUUGAGGGGGCAGGGCCUGGGGCGGGGCUUAGGAAUGGGCUGGGAUUCUCUGGAGAUGUGUCCUCCCUCCUUGCCCACCCUGCUCUCUCUUAAACAUUACUCCUGUUAGGAGCGCCGGCUGCAUAUGUAUGUGGUGUACUGUCAGAAUAAGCCCAAGUCAGAGCAUGUGGUGUCAGAGUUUGGGGACAGCUACUUUGAGGUCAGUAGCUGAGAUGUCUUGGUGGGAAGGAGGACAGAACUGGGGCUUUCCAGGCUGCAUAACCACCCUGUCCCUGUCCCCAGGAGCUCCGGCAGCAGCUGGGGCACCGCCUGCAGCUGAACGACCUCCUCAUCAAACCUGUGCAGCGGAUCAUGAAAUACCAGCUGCUGCUCAAGGAUUUUCUCAAGUAUUACAAUAGAGCUGGGAUGGAUACUGCAGACCUAGAGCAAGCUGUGGAGGUCAUGUGCUUUGUGCCCAAGCGCUGCAACGAUAUGAUGACGCUGGGGAGAUUGCGGGGAUUUGAGGGCAAACUGACUGCUCAGGGGAAGCUCUUGGGCCAGGACACUUUCUGGGUCACCGAGCCUGAGGCUGGAGGGCUGCUGUCUUCCCGAGGUCGAGAGAGGCGCGUCUUCCUCUUUGAGCAAAUCAUCAUCUUCAGUGAAGCCCUGGGAGGAGGAGUGAGAGGUGGAACACAGCCUGGAUAUGUAUACAAGAACAGCAUUAAGGUGAGCUGCCUGGGACUGGAGGGGAACCUCCAAGGUGACCCUUGCCGCUUUGCACUGACCUCCAGAGGGCCAGAGGGUGGGAUCCAGCGCUAUGUCCUGCAGGCUGCAGACCCUGCUAUCAGUCAGGCCUGGAUCAAGCAUGUGGCUCAGAUCUUGGAGAGCCAACGGGACUUCCUCAACGCAUUGCAGUCACCCAUUGAGUACCAGAGACGGGAGAGCCAGACCAACAGCCUGGGGCGGCCAAGAGGGCCUGGAGUGGGGAGCCCUGGAAGAAUUCGGCUUGGAGAUCAGGCCCAGGGCAGCACACACACACCCAUCAAUGGCUCUCUCCCCUCCCUGCUGCUGUCACCCAAAGGGGAGGUGGCCAGAGCCCUCUUGCCACUGGAUAAACAGGCCCUUGGUGACAUCCCCCAGGCUCCCCAUGACUCUCCUCCAGUCUCUCCAACUCCAAAAACCCCUCCCUGCCAAGCCAGACUUGCCAAGCUGGAUGAAGAUGAGCUGUAACUGGUGAAAACCAUGGGGGUGGUGCUGACUCAGCCGCCUAUUCCCCAAGGAGCUUCAGGGCAGUCCUUCUGGCACUGCUCCAGAAUUCCUCCUUCUUGGUGUGUCUGGAGGGUGGGCAAGGCUGGGAGGGAUAUCAACUUGGAGGAGAACACCUAGACCCAAGGACUUUUUUCUGCCCAAGGAACACAGUUUCCUUCAGCUCCCAUCCCUAUGCAUGCAUCAUGGUCCCCCCAAAAGGAGGAUAUGUGGGUGGGUGGGAGGGCUGGGGCAGGGGCCAGAUAGAAAUUAUUGGUUUUGUUUUUUAAUUUUGUUUUUCCUGUUUU